RNAcentral lists this long non-coding RNA (204 nucleotides) under Cucumis sativus (cucumber). Its description in RNAcentral is "long non-coding RNA (CSAT_LNC002966)". The record is from RNAcentral. Lineage: Eukaryota; Viridiplantae; Streptophyta; Magnoliopsida; Cucurbitales; Cucurbitaceae.
CUGACCUAAAGCCAUACCAUGCACCAGAUCGUUUCAGGCUUGCUGACUGAUGGACCCUGGGACGAGUCCAUCCUUAGGGGGGUGGAAUGAUGUAAACUAUAGCUAGUUAGUUAGUAAAAAUCCCUAACUAAUUAGAAAUACAGCUGUAACUAACUUCCUAAAACAGUCUUGUAACUAACUAAAUAAAACAACCUUGUAACUAAC